AGGGAGCUUGACUGCGAGACCUACAAGUCGAGCAGGGUCGAAAGACGGACUUAGUGAUCCGGUGGUUCCGCAUGGAAGGGCCAUCGCUCAACGGAUAAAAGCUACCCCGGGGAUAACAGGCUUAUCUCCCCCAAGAGUUCACAUCGACGGGGAGGUUUGGCACCUCGAUGUCGGCUCAUCGCAUCCUGGGGCUGUAGUCGGUCCCAAGGGUUGGGCUGUUCGCCCAUUAAAGCGGUACGCGAGCUGGGUUCAGAACGUCGUGAGACAGUUCGGUCCCUAUCCGUCGUGGGCGUAGGAAAUUUGAGAGGAGCUGUCCUUAGUACGAGAGGACCGGGAUGGACAUACCUCUGGUGUACCAGUUGUCGUGCCAACGGCAUAGCUGGGUAGCUAUGUGUGGACGGGAUAAGUGCUGAAAGCAUCUAAGCAUGAAGCCCCCCUCAAGAUGAGAUUUCCCAACUUCGGUUAUAAGAUCCCUCAAAGAUGAUGAGGUUAAUAGGUUCGAGGUGGAAGCAUGGUGACAUGUGGAGCUGACGAAUACUAAUCGAUCGAAGACUUAAUCAA
Molecule: ribosomal RNA, 561 nt
Filed under: Staphylococcus aureus
Lineage: Bacteria; Bacillati; Bacillota; Bacilli; Caryophanales; Staphylococcaceae
Also listed under: 6 other names
Description: partial 23S ribosomal RNA
Rfam family: Bacterial large subunit ribosomal RNA
Source: RNAcentral